RNAcentral lists this ribosomal RNA (460 nucleotides) under uncultured bacterium. Its description in RNAcentral is "partial 16S ribosomal RNA". It matches the Rfam family "Bacterial small subunit ribosomal RNA", at positions 338 to 795 of the family's 1533-position model. The record is from RNAcentral.
CCUACGGGUGGCAGCAGUGAGGAAUAUUGGUCAAUGGAUGAGAGUCUGAACCAGCCAAGUAGCGUGAAGGAUGACUGCCCUAUGGGUUGUAAACUUCUUUUAUAUGGGAAUAAAACGUUCCACGUGUGGGAUUUUGUAUGUACCAUAUGAAUAAGGAUCGGCUAACUCCGUGCCAGCAGCCGCGGUAAUACGGAGGAUCCGAGCGUUAUCCGGAUUUAUUGGGUUUAAAGGGAGCGUAGGUGGAUUGUUAAGUCAGUUGUGAAAGUUUGCGGCUCAACCGUAAAAUUGCAGUUGAAACUGGCAGUCUUGAGUACAGUAGAGGUGGGCGGAAUUCGUGGUGUAGCGGUGAAAUGCUUAGAUAUCACGAAGAACUCCGAUUGCGAAGGCAGUUCACUGGACUGCAACUGACACUGAGGCUCGAAAGUGUGGGUAUCAAACAGGAUUAGAUACCCCAGUAGUC